CAUGUGCGCCACUUGUCAUCAUCAGAUUUACUCUCAAGAAUGGGGGAGUUGGUACAUGCUUUCUUUAGAUUGUUAAUUAUAUUCGUCUAAAUUACGUACCGUUUUCAUCAUUGCGCUCCUUGCAUUGAUACCUUUAAAAUUAGAGCUGUUUUUUAUAUGUUUCAAAGAACUUUUUUAGCGUAAUUUGUACCUACUAUUAUAGCAAACUUGACACUGAAUCUGAAUUCAUCAAAUGUCUGGCAUGGAUCUACUUCAUUGAGCGGUGUAGUACGCCCAUGCACAUGUGCUCCUGAUGGCAGUAUCAAACGACAUUAAAACAACCAUCACAUGGUUGCUGCAUCACAUGGUAGUAUGAGAUGUCACGAUAAUGGUGCCCUAUUAAGGUUGAGAAGCGAAACGGAACAUGAUCAAAAUUUCACAAAGAAACCAACAUUCAUUCAUAUCUAAGGCUGAGCAAGCGGUAGAGCUUAGUCAUUUGUAGAUCCAAACCGGAAUACAUCACAUACAUAACAGACUCAACUGUUGAACUCAGAUGAUACUACUUUUGCGCUGCUAUUUUGUACCCACGGAGAUCCUAGGAUUUGGAAGCAUCGGGAUUUAUAACCACUAAACACUCAAGGAAACUGGUGCUGAAUUGGACGAUUAACCAGACUAUUACUAAGGCCUCCCUUGGUUCAUAGGUUAGUACUCUUGUAUCAGUAAUCAGACUAACAGAGUCGGACGUAUAUAUUGAUAGCACCCUUGGAUCAUCAAGACCUGCAAAGUCAGUAUAUUCAAUUCGACUGAGCUGGCCAGCAUCAUCGACCAGAGAACCCACAAGCAGCACGUUCUAGGGCAAGGCAAGAUGAAGUUUCUGGAGGAUGCUAUGCAAAAGAUGGGCUUUAUUCAUCGGUGGGUACAAGAUUAUGGUGUGCGUGACCACGGUGAGAUACUCUGUAAAAUUUAA
Molecule: long non-coding RNA, 946 nt
Filed under: Hordeum vulgare
Lineage: Eukaryota; Viridiplantae; Streptophyta; Magnoliopsida; Poales; Poaceae
Description: long non-coding RNA (HVUL_LNC002105)
Source: RNAcentral